AGAGUUUGAUCCUGGCUGAGAACGUACGCUGGCGGCACGCCUAACACAUGCAAGUCGAACGCAGUAGCAAUACUGAGUGGCAAACGGGUGAGUAUAAUGUGGGAAUCUGCCUUUUGGUUUGGAAUAACACGGGGAAACUUGUGCUAAUACCGAAUAAGCCCUUACGGGGAAAGUUUUAACGCCGAAAGAUGAGCCCGCACUUGAUUAGCUAGUUGGUAAGGUAAAAGCUUACCAAGGCAACGAUCAAUAGCUGUUCUUAGAGGAAGACCAGCCACAUUGGGACUGAGACACGGCCCAGACUCCUACGGGAGGCAGCAGUGGGGAAUCUUGCACAAUGGGGGAAACCCUGAUGCAGCGAUGCCGCGUGAGUGAAGAAGGCCCUUGGGUUGUAAAACUCUUUCGUCGGGGAAGAAAAUGACUGUACCCGAAUAAGAAGGUCCGGCUAACUUCGUGCCAGCAGCCGCGGUAAUACGAAGGGACCUAGCGUAGUUCGGAAUUACUGGGCUUAAAGAGCUCGUAGGUGGUUAAAAUAGUUGAUGGUGAAAUCCCAAGGCUUAACCUUGGAACUGCCAUCAAAACUUUUUAGCUAGAGUGUGAUAGAGGUAAGUGGAAUUUCUAGUGUAGAGGUGAAUUUCGUAGAUUUUAGAAAGAACACCAAAUGCGAAGGCAACUUACUGGGUCACUACUGACAC
RNAcentral lists this ribosomal RNA (692 nucleotides) under uncultured bacterium. Its description in RNAcentral is "bacterial SSU rRNA". It matches the Rfam family "Bacterial small subunit ribosomal RNA", at positions 8 to 746 of the family's 1533-position model. The record is from RNAcentral.